Lepisosteus oculatus (spotted gar) is the source of this 868-nucleotide non-coding RNA. The record is from RefSeq and is a predicted model, not a curated record. NCBI's taxonomy places the organism in Eukaryota, Metazoa, Chordata, Actinopteri, Semionotiformes, Lepisosteidae.
UUCAGUUCAGGAUAUGCGGUACUGUCUGCAUGGAGUUUGUUCAUUCUCCCUGUCUUUCUAGGGAUUUCUUUCAGGCUCUCUGGCUUCCUUCCAUAUUCCAAAGAUAUAUUAGCUUUUGGGAUAUUUGGCCCUAAAAUGUGAGUGUGUGCUCUGCAGUGGACGGGGCAGGUCCAGGGUGUAUGCCCCAGCCCCUGGCUUGUGCCGUUGCUCCUCUGCAAUCCUGAAACGGGAGAGGUUAGAAUUGUUGGAUGAAUCGAAUAGCGUCCGAACGUCCUAAUCCUUAAACUCUCAAAACCAGAAAAAGCCGAUCAUAUCAAAGCAGAUACUUAACGAAUUCACACAUAGCUCAAAUUACAGAAACAAUAACAAACCCGCCCUCUUUCAUCAACUUCCAUUUUCGAUUAGAAUUAAACGCGAAAUGACAUCCAAGGGUUAACUGCUGUGAGGUUACACUGACCAGCCGGAGCUGCAGAUAGCUUCAAAAUCUUUUGAAAAGCUACAGCUGACUUGAGGUGUUUGCGACAUGAAGUCAUUAAUCAUCCUUGUACUGGUUCUUCAGGGUGUUAAAGGUCUGAUGCACCUCCACUGGUAUUAGAGUGCUUGUUUCAGGUUCUGGCCUCAACUGGCGAGAAUUUAUGGUGGCUUUUUCUGCAGCCAGUGCUUUUUCCUCAGCCAUUUUAAAAGUUAGUGUUGGUUCUGCCAGUAGGUGGCGCUGCAGCGCUUCAUCAUGGAUGCCACACACUAACGUGUUUUGCAGCAUGUCCUCCAGCUGGUCUCUUAACUCACAAUGCACUGACAAUUUCCUCAGUGCCACUAUGUAGCUUGCUGUGGCUUGGUCUGGCUGCUGUGUACGAUGAUGGAAAUAAAA